AUGUACAGGGUGUUGGCGCCGUCUCGCCGCGACAGGGUGUUGGCGCCGUCUCGCCGCGACAGGGUGUUGGCGCCGUCUCGCCGCGGCAGGGUGUUGGCGCGACAGGGUGUUGCCGCGACAGGGUGUUGGAGCCGUCUCGCCGCGACAGGGUGUUGGAGCCGUCUCGCCGCGACAGGGUGUUGGAGCCGUCUCGCCGCGACAGGGUGUUGGAGCCGUCUCGCCGCGACAGGGUGUUGGAGCCGUCUCGCCGCGACAGGGUGUUGGAGCCGUCUCGCCGCGACAGGGUGUUGGAGCCGUCUCGCCGCGACAGGGUGUUGGAGCCGUCUCGCCGCGACAGGGUGUUGGAGCCGUCUCGCCGCGACAGGGUGUUGGAGCCGUCUCGCCGCGACAGGGUGUUGGAGCCGUCUCGCCGCGACAGGGUGUUGGAGCCGUCUCGCCGCGACAGGGUGUUGGAGCCGUCUCGCCGCGACAGGGUGUUGGAGCCGUCUCGCCGCGACAGGGUGUUGGAGCCGUCUCGCCGCGACAGGGUGUUGGCGCCGUCUCGCCGCGACUGGGUGUUGGCGCCGUCUCGCCGCGACAGGGUGUUGGCGCCGUCUCGCCGCGACAGGGUGUUGGAGCCGUCUCGCCGCGACAGGGUGUUGGAGCCGUCUCGCCGCGACAGGGUGUUGGAGCCGUCUCGCCGCGACAGGGUGUUGGAGCCGUCUCGCCGCGACAGGGUGUUGGAGCCGUCUCGCCGCGACAGGGUGUUGCCGCGACAGGGUGUUGGAGCAGUCUCGCCGCGACAGGGUGUUGCCGCGACAGGGUGUUGGAGCAGUCUCGCCGCGACAGGGUGUUGCCGCGACAGGGUGUUGGCGCCGUCUCGCCGCGACAGGGUGUUGGAGCCGUCUCGCCGCGACAGGGUGUUGGCGCCGUCUCGCCGCGACAGGGUGUUGGCGCCGUCUCGCCGCGACAGGGUGUUGGCGCCGUCUCGCCGCGACAGGGUGUUGGCGCCGUCUCGCCGCGACAGGGUGUUGGAGCCGCCUCGCCGCGACAGGGUGUUGGAGCCGCGACAGGGUGUUGGAGCCGUCUCGCCGCGACAGGGUGUUGGAGCAGUCUUGCCGUGACAGGGUGUUGGAGCCGUCUCGCCGUGACAGGGUGUUGGAGCCGUCUCGCCGCGACAGGGUGUUGGAGCCGUCUCACUGUAACAUUAAGAAUUCUUGUUGUCACCUCUAUUUUCUCAUUGUAAAGGAUAAACCGUUAUUGCUAAUGAAGAAACCUGUGCCUCCCAAAACACCAUGUGACCGAGCCAUAUCAGCUGAUAAAGAGACUGUACCACCACUGUCCAUGUCCAUGAACCAACAGGCACUGGACCCAGAGGAAGAGGAGAACCUACAGAGGAUACAGUACAGGAAGCAGAAGCUGUUCUCAGAGAAACUGCAGUGGAUUUACAUGGUCCUGUGUGGCAUCUCUCACAUGCGAAACAGAGAUCUGAAGACACUGGUUCCUCUCAACAGCAGCUAUGUGAACAUCAUCAUGAAGGACACAGAGAAGACCAACAUCCUGCUGAAGCAGUCGCACAGCUACAACCCUCCGUUGAAUUACACCAGGCAGCUGGUGUCCCUGGCCCCAGAGGACUGUCACAGCAUCAGCCGUGACGUGUGGGACACCUUCAUCAGUCACCAGGACACCACAGAGCCCUCGAAGUUAACCACCACCCGAACCACAGGAUAUAAAGCUCUGCAGUCGGGGCCCAGGCGCAAGGUGCCAGACGGAGAUGGAUACAUGCCCCCAUGGCUGCUACUGCUGCUGGAUGAGAACACGUCCCUAGAGAAGAAAACAGUAAAGCCUGGUGUAGACCAGUCAGGCAUGCUGGAGAGAGCCAAGGAGCAUUACCGGGAUGUGAAGAAGGUUCUGAACAUUCCAAUGGAGUCAGUAGUGUUUGAAAAGAGAAAGAACCGAGAGGAGAGGAUGAGAACUCUUUUCAAUGCUCUAAUGGCCUCAAAGUCCGACGCUGGUCUGUCCUCACUCCUUACCUCUCUGAAGAGUGGGCUGAAGGAGCCCAAAUCCACCACUGGUCUCUGGUUUGCGACACUGCAGAGUGAUGCCACAGAAUUGUCUGGAGACAGAGACUCCCAAUACAACGUCAUACUGCAGAAGAUCUCAGAGUUUCAAAGCUUCUCCAACAAAAAGCUCCCCUACUCCAAGGAGAAGUUCUGUCUCCUGGUCCUCUCCAUGUCACCCAAUCAGCUGCUUCGACCGGCCAUGCAGGAAGCACUGCUCUUCCUCACGGAGAACGUGCUGCUGUUGUUGCCGCGGCAACUCAAACAGUGGUACCAGUACCUGAAGCUCCCCUUCCCCACCACGGCAACCGCCUCCUGA
This is a long non-coding RNA of Oncorhynchus kisutch (coho salmon), 2358 nucleotides long. NCBI's taxonomy places the organism in Eukaryota, Metazoa, Chordata, Actinopteri, Salmoniformes, Salmonidae. The record is from Ensembl.